RNAcentral lists this ribosomal RNA (512 nucleotides) under uncultured bacterium. RNAcentral describes it as "bacterial LSU rRNA". It matches the Rfam family "Bacterial large subunit ribosomal RNA", at positions 659 to 1168 of the family's 2925-position model. The record is from RNAcentral.
GGUGAAGGCGCAGCGAAAGCGAGUCUGAACAGGGGCGUUCAGUUCGUAGGAUCAGACCCGAAGCCGAGUGAUCUAGCCAUGGGCAGGCUGAAGGUGGGGUAACACCCACUGGAGGGCCGAACUCACGUCUGUUGAAAAAGACGGGGAUGACCUGUGGUUAGGGGUGAAAGGCCAAUCAAACUCGGCGAUAGCUGGUUCUCCGCGAAAGCUAUUGAGGUAGUGCGUCGCGUAUUACCGCCGGGGGUAGAGCACUGGAUGGGCUAAGGGGCCCCACAGGCUUACUAAACCCAACCAAACUCCGAAUACCGGCGAGUAGAGCGCGGCAGACAGACAGUGGGUGCUAAGGUCCAUUGUCGAGAGGGAAACAGCCCAGACCGCCAGCUAAGGUCCCCCAAGUCGUGGCUAAGUGGGAAAGGAUGUGGGAAGGCCAAGACAACCAGGAGGUUGGCUUAGAAGCAGCCAUCCUUUAAAGAAAGCGUAAUAGCUCACUGGUCUAGAUAAGCCGUCCUGCG